Molecule: ribosomal RNA, 440 nt
Filed under: uncultured bacterium
Lineage: Bacteria
Description: partial 16S ribosomal RNA
Rfam family: Bacterial small subunit ribosomal RNA
Source: RNAcentral
CCUACGGGUGGCAGCAGUGGGGAAUAUUGCACAAUGGGGGAAACCCUGAUGCAGCGACGCCGCGUGAGUGAAGAAGUAAUUCGUUAUGUAAAGCUCUAUCAGCAGGGAAGAAAAUGACGGUACCUGAGUAAGAAGCCCCGGCUAACUACGUGCCAGCAGCCGCGGUAAUACGUAGGGGGCAAUCGUUAUCCGGAGUUACUGGGGGGAAAGGGAGCGUAGACGGCAGUGCAAGUCUGGAGUGAAAGGCGGGGGCUCAACCCCCGGACUGCUCUGGAAACUGUACGGCUGGAGUGCAGGAGAGGUGAGUGGAAUUCCUAGUGUAGCGGUGAAAUGCGUAGAUAUUAGGAGGAACACCAGUGGCGAAGGCGGCUUACUGGACUGUAACUGACGUUGAGGCUCGAAAGCGUGGGGAGCAAACAGGAUUAGAUACCCUUGUAGUC